This 243-nucleotide unclassified non-coding RNA is filed under the name Hevea brasiliensis (rubber tree). Lineage: Eukaryota; Viridiplantae; Streptophyta; Magnoliopsida; Malpighiales; Euphorbiaceae. The record is from RNAcentral.
AAAAUGUGACUAGGAUUUCCUUUCACCUAGACAUUAAUGUAUCUAGCUCAUAGCAUCUAAAGGAAACCCUAAAUAGGAAAGUAUUACAAUAAACAUUUUCUGGAAAAUACAAAUGAUAGCACAGAAAAUAGAAGGUGUAAAAGGGAUAGAAUUUCCCUAAUGAGCUUCAAUCUUCACUCCUUGAGUUGUUUUCUUUCCUUCUUUAUUUCCUUCUUGAUGGGAGGACUCUUUCUCUCUCUAAAA